UACGUAGGGGGCAAGCGUUGUCCGGAAUUAUUGGGCGUAAAGAGCGCGUAGGCGGUCCGAUAAGUCGGCUGUGAAAGUCAUGGGCUCAACCCAUGAAAGCCGGCCGAUACUGUCGGACUAGAGUCCGGAAGAGGCGAGUGGAAUUCCCGGUGUAGCGGUGAAAUGCGCAGAUAUCGGGAGGAACACCAAUGGCGAAGGCAGCUCGCUGGGACGGUACUGACGCUGAGGCGUGAAAGCGUGAGGAGCAAACAGG
Molecule: ribosomal RNA, 253 nt
Filed under: uncultured bacterium
Lineage: Bacteria
Description: partial 16S ribosomal RNA
Rfam family: Bacterial small subunit ribosomal RNA
Source: RNAcentral